GAUGAACGCUGGCGGCGUGCCUAAUACAUGCGAGUCGAGCGAACAGACGAGGAGCUUGCUCCUCUGACGUUAGCGGCGGACGGGUGAGUAACACGUGGAUAACCUACCUAUAAGACUGGGAUAACUUCGGGAAACCGGAGCUAAUACCGGAUAAUAUAUUGAACCGCAUGGUUCAAUAGUGAAAGACGGUUUUGCUGUCACUUAUAGAUGGAUCCGCGCCGCAUUAGCUAGUUGGUAAGGUAACGGCUUACCAAGGCAACGAUGCGUAGCCGACCUGAGAGGGUGAUCGGCCACACUGGAACUGAGACACGGUCCAGACUCCUACGGGAGGCAGCAGUAGGGAAUCUUCCGCAAUGGGCGAAAGCCUGACGGAGCAACGCCGCGUGAGUGAUGAAGGUCUUCGGAUCGUAAAACUCUGUUAUUAGGGAAGAACAAAUGUGUAAGUAACUAUGCACGUCUUGACGGUGCCUAAUCAGAAAGCCACGGCUAACUACGUG
This 497-nucleotide ribosomal RNA is filed under the name uncultured bacterium. RNAcentral's name for it is "partial 16S ribosomal RNA". It matches the Rfam family "Bacterial small subunit ribosomal RNA", at positions 28 to 507 of the family's 1533-position model. The record is from RNAcentral.